This 253-nucleotide ribosomal RNA is filed under the name uncultured bacterium. RNAcentral's name for it is "partial 16S ribosomal RNA". It matches the Rfam family "Bacterial small subunit ribosomal RNA", at positions 524 to 776 of the family's 1533-position model. The record is from RNAcentral.
UACAGAGGGUGCAAGCGUUGUUCGGAAUUAUUGGGCGUAAAGCGCGUGUAGGCGGCUUUGCAAGUCGGGUGUGAAAGCCCUCAGCUCAACUGAGGAAGUGCGCCCGAAACUGCAUUGCUUGAGUACCGGAGAGGAUGGCGGAAUUCCCGAAGUAGAGGUGAAAUUCGUAGAUAUCGGGAGGAACACCGGUGGCGAAGGCGGCCAUCUGGACGGAUACUGACGCUGAGACGCGAAAGCGUGGGUAGCAAACAGG